RNAcentral lists this ribosomal RNA (253 nucleotides) under uncultured bacterium. RNAcentral describes it as "partial 16S ribosomal RNA". It matches the Rfam family "Bacterial small subunit ribosomal RNA", at positions 524 to 776 of the family's 1533-position model. The record is from RNAcentral.
UACAGAGGUCCCGAGCGUUGUUCGGAUUCACUGGGCGUAAAGGGUGCGUAGGUGGUGAGGUAAGUCGGAUGUGAAAUCUCCGGGCUCAACCCGGAAACUGCAUUGGAAACUACCUUGCUUGAGGGUUUGAGGGGGGACUGGAAUUCUCGGUGUAGCAGUGAAAUGCGUAGAUAUCGAGAGGAACACCUGUGGCGAAAGCGGCUCACUGGACCAUAACUGACGCUGAUGCACGAAAGCUAGGGGAGCAAACAGG